This 352-nucleotide ribosomal RNA is filed under the name uncultured bacterium. Its description in RNAcentral is "bacterial SSU rRNA". It matches the Rfam family "Bacterial small subunit ribosomal RNA", at positions 8 to 334 of the family's 1533-position model. The record is from RNAcentral.
AGGGUUUGAUUCUGGCUCAGGACGAACGCUGGCGGCGUGCUUAACACAUGCAAGUCGAACGAAAAGAGGGAAAGAGCUUGCUCUUUCCGGAAUUGAGUGGCAAACGGGUGAGUAACACGUAAACAACCUGCCUUCAGGAUGGGGACAACAGACGGAAACGACUGCUAAUACCGAAUAAGUUCCAAGAGCCGCAUGGCCCAUGGAAGAAAAGGUGGCCUCUACCUGUAAGCUAUCGCCUGAAGAGGGGUUUGCGUCUGAUUAGCUGGUUGGAGGGGUAACGGCCCACCAAGGCGACGAUCAGUAGCCGGUCUGAGAGGAUGAACGGCCACACUGGAACUGAGACACGGUCCAG